Long non-coding RNA from Arachis duranensis, 1406 nucleotides. RefSeq lists it as uncharacterized. The record is from RefSeq and is a predicted model, not a curated record. Lineage: Eukaryota; Viridiplantae; Streptophyta; Magnoliopsida; Fabales; Fabaceae. The transcript is spliced from 5 exons.
AGCUUGUGUUCAAUUUCUUUGUCUAAAUAAGUUAAUAUUUGCAUUAUGCACUAUUUUAUUGAUUUGGUGUGCUGUAAUAAGUAUAUGCUUGUGCUAUCUUUUAGCUAGUUACAAGCUAAUUUGCCAUAUCAUGAAAUGUGCUGUCAUGAAUGGAUUAUGCUAUGCGUUUAUGUCCUCUUUUUUACAGUUUACUGACAUUUAGUUUCCUGGCAGAUGAAGAAAGGCAAUGUCAAGUUGAUAACUGAAAUGUUGUGAUGAUUAAUUAUAUGUAUAGGGUGCACUUCAUGUAUCAUUGGUGGAAGCAGUUAGGCCUUACACGAUCUUGCGCACUAGUCCAUACUGCAAGAGGAUAUUCUCUAGAAGCCUACUUAAGAAGUGGCUGCUCUUGUUCCUAAAGGGGAGCUUGAUGGUGAAAUAGGGGAUGCACACAUGGCAAUGCAGGCUAGGUUGAUGAGCCAGGCCCUUCAGAAAUUAAGCCAUUCCUUGUCAGUUUCUCAAUGUAUGUUGAUUUUUAUAAACCAGGGUCACGACUUCUGUGGGCAAAAAAAGAGAAGGAAAAGGCACCAAACACCUUGCAACUGAGAAACAAAGAAGAGAACAACUGAAUGGCAAAUACAAAAUCCUGAGGAGUCUUAUCCCAAGCCCCACAAAGAUGGAUAGAGCCUCUGUGGUGGGUGAUGUCAAUGAAUACAUAAGGGAGCUGCUCAAAAUGGUUAAUGAGCUCAAAUUACUGGUGGAGAAGAAAAGAUGUUAAAGGGAAAGAUGCAAAAGGCAGAAAGCGAAAGAUGAUGCUACAGAGAGCUGUAACAUAAAGUCUUUCAGCAAUCCAGAUAGAUGCAUAAGGACCUCAUGGCUUCAAAGGAAAUUGAAAGAUAGCGAGGUUGAUGUGCAGAUUGCUGAUGAUGAUGUUACAAUCAAACUCUUCCAGAGGAAGAAGGUUAACUGUCUGCUUUCAGUCGCUAAGUUUCUGGAUGAACUUCAGUUGGAACUUCACCAUGUUGCAGGUGGACAUGUUGGCAAAUAAUACAGUUCCUUGUUCAAUACCAAGAUAAUAGAAGGUUCUUCAGUCUAUGCCAGGGCUAUAGCCAACAGUGUGAUUGAUGUUAUGGACACUCAGUAUGCAGCAGCAGUUCCACAUACAGGUAGCUAUUAGGUUAAGGGGAUAAUAGUUUCAAGUUUAGGCACUGCACCAAAGUUCAAGUAACUAGUUACAUGUACGAAAAUAAGAAAAGAGAGUCAACUGUCUUUAUUGCAAAUUAUGAUCCGUCGAGGUUAUUGAGUAACCUAAGCAGUCUCUAUGCUAAUACUUCUCAAAGUAAUAGUUAUUAGAUAUGAUUUGCUUAAUUAUUUGUAUAAGAAUUAUUACUUUUGAUUUUUAAUACAAAAACUAUAUAUUAUGUUUGAUA